RNAcentral lists this ribosomal RNA (223 nucleotides) under Cytophagales bacterium. RNAcentral's name for it is "partial 23S ribosomal RNA". It matches the Rfam family "Bacterial large subunit ribosomal RNA", at positions 2690 to 2925 of the family's 2925-position model. The record is from RNAcentral. Lineage: Bacteria; Pseudomonadati; Bacteroidota; Cytophagia; Cytophagales.
GACCGGGUUGGACUAACCGCUGGUGUACCGGUUGUCGUGUCAGCGGCACUGCCGGGUAGCUAUGUUGGGACGGGAUAAGCGCUGAAAGCAUCUAAGCGCGAAACCCACCUCGAGAUGAGACUUCCAUAAAGGGACGUCAGAGAUGAUGACGUUGAUAGGCUGCAGGUGUAAAGUCAGAGAUGGCAAAGCUGAGCAGUACUAAUUACCCGUUCGCUUCAGAACA